Molecule: ribosomal RNA, 254 nt
Filed under: uncultured bacterium
Lineage: Bacteria
Description: partial small subunit ribosomal RNA
Rfam family: Bacterial small subunit ribosomal RNA
Source: RNAcentral
AGGACGAACGCUGGCGGCGUGCUUAACACAUGCAAGUCGAGCGGAAAGGCCCUUCGGGGUACUCGAGCGGCGAACGGGUGAGUAACACGUGAGUAAUCUGCCCCUAGCUCUGGGAUAGCUCCGGGAAACCGGGAUUAAUACCAGAUACGACCACUUUAGACAUCUGCUGUGGUGGAAAGAAUUUCGGCUAGGGAUGAGCUCGCGGCCUAUCAGCUUGUUGGUGAGGUAACGGCUCACCAGGGCGACGACGGGUA